Molecule: non-coding RNA, 73 nt
Filed under: Vibrio ordalii FF-93
Lineage: Bacteria; Pseudomonadati; Pseudomonadota; Gammaproteobacteria; Vibrionales; Vibrionaceae
Source: RNAcentral
AAGCGAAACAAGCAAGGUUCGCGCCUUGCUUGUCUGCCUAGCGUGGUUGCUAGGCACUGAUGAGCAGCCAGUA